GAUACAUUAUUGCCAAGACAUCAGCGCCACACACACCCCCAUCAAAUCCGUCCAACCUCAUCCUGUCUCCUCUCAGAUCUCGGUGGCUGCUCCAUUCUCGGUGCCUGAUUAAGCACAAGGGCGAUCCGGUAUGAGGGAGCGCCAUGGGAGAACCCAGCCCGCGCGAGUAUCCAUGGAGGCGGCUGGCGGGAGAGAUCGUCCUAGCAAGGUGGAUCUAGCGUCCCAUCGUAGAUGUUGGGAUAUUAGG
Molecule: long non-coding RNA, 247 nt
Organism: Triticum aestivum (bread wheat)
Lineage: Eukaryota; Viridiplantae; Streptophyta; Magnoliopsida; Poales; Poaceae
Exons: 2
Source: RefSeq, a predicted model, not a curated record